This 263-nucleotide unclassified non-coding RNA is filed under the name plant metagenome. Its description in RNAcentral is "partial contains small subunit ribosomal RNA, internal transcribed spacer 1, and 5.8S ribosomal RNA". The record is from RNAcentral.
UUUCCGUAGGUGAACCUGCGGAAGGAUCAUUAUUGUAUAACCGAGGUGCGAGGGCUGUCGCUGACCCAAAAGGUCGUGCACGCCCGAGUGCCCUCACACACAUCCAUCUCACCCCUAUUUGCACCACCGCGUGGGUCCCCCUUUGGCUUGUUCGGAGGGGGGCUUACGUUUUCACACAAACUUUGUAUGCAGUGUAGAAUGUAUUUUUUGUUUUUGCGAUCACGCAAUCAAUACAACUUUCAACAACGGAUCUCUUGGCUCUC